Molecule: long non-coding RNA, 663 nt
Filed under: Medicago truncatula (barrel medic)
Lineage: Eukaryota; Viridiplantae; Streptophyta; Magnoliopsida; Fabales; Fabaceae
Description: long non-coding RNA (MTRU_LNC008742)
Source: RNAcentral
AUCCUGAUAAUACUUGUUCUAUGAACUUUGGAAAAGCUGCUCUUGCUUAUGUUAGACCUGAUAAGCCUUUUUCUGUUCAUCAAAGGUUAUAUAUAUUUACUAUUAUGCAACAAUAUGUCAUUUAUUUGAGUAGACCUUUUUUUUUUUUUUUUUUUUUUACUAUAAGUAGUGAAGUAGUACUUGAUUUUUUUAAUUUAUGUCGCGGUUCUUUGAUAUUAGAAAGAAUCGCGAUUGUAUGUGGUCUAAUUAUAGUUUAUAAAGAGUGACAUCUUUAAUUCCUUUUAUAAGGAUGAAUUCGGUCCAACAUAAAAGCUUAACAUGGUAUUAGAGUCUGCUUUUGAUCCAGAGACAUGUGUAUUAUGUUACAGUUCAAAUUACUGUUGCAUACUUUUUUUAUUGGAAAAAUUGAUGUUGCUGACCAAAUUGAAGGAGAUUAGUACUCGGAAAAAUUUGCUUGCGCCAAUAACAUGGUUGUUACAAAAUUAUAAUAUUUUUUUAAAUGUUAUUAGUGCUAAGAGAUGGUAUUUUAUUUGCAGGUUGUUCUGUGGGCUUGAUGACAUAUACUGUUUGUUCUUGGGGAGUUUGAACAAUUUAUCCUUACUGAACAAGCAAUAUGGUUUGUCAAAGGGAACUGAUGAAGCCAUGUUUCUGAUUGAAGCUUAU